This 950-nucleotide ribosomal RNA is filed under the name Escherichia coli. RNAcentral's name for it is "partial 23S ribosomal RNA". It matches the Rfam family "Bacterial large subunit ribosomal RNA", at positions 165 to 1155 of the family's 2925-position model. The record is from RNAcentral. Lineage: Bacteria; Pseudomonadati; Pseudomonadota; Gammaproteobacteria; Enterobacterales; Enterobacteriaceae.
CAUAGGUUAAUGAGGCGAACCGGGGGAACUGAAACAUCUAAGUACCCCGAGGAAAAGAAAUCAACCGAGAUUCCCCCAGUAGCGGCGAGCGAACGGGGAGGAGCCCAGAGCCUGAAUCAGUGUGUGUGUUAGUGGAAGCGUCUGGAAAGGCGCGCGAUACAGGGUGACAGCCCCGUACACAAAAAUGCACAUGCUGUGAGCUCGAUGAGUAGGGCGGGACACGUGGUAUCCUGUCUGAAUAUGGGGGGACCAUCCUCCAAGGCUAAAUACUCCUGACUGACCGAUAGUGAACCAGUACCGUGAGGGAAAGGCGAAAAGAACCCCGGCGAGGGGAGUGAAAAAGAACCUGAAACCGUGUACGUACAAGCAGUGGGAGCCUCUUAAUGGGGUGACUGCGUACCUUUUGUAUAAUGGGUCAGCGACUUAUAUUCUGUAGCAAGGUUAACCGAAUAGGGGAGCCGAAGGGAAACCGAGUCUUAACUGGGCGUUAAGUUGCAGGGUAUAGACCCGAAACCCGGUGAUCUAGCCAUGGGCAGGUUGAAGGUUGGGUAACACUAACUGGAGGACCGAACCGACUAAUGUUGAAAAAUUAGCGGAUGACUUGUGGCUGGGGGUGAAAGGCCAAUCAAACCGGGAGAUAGCUGGUUCUCCCCGAAAGCUAUUUAGGUAGCGCCUCGUGAAUUCAUCUCCGGGGGUAGAGCACUGUUUCGGCAAGGGGGUCAUCCCGACUUACCAACCCGAUGCAAACUGCGAAUACCGGAGAAUGUUAUCACGGGAGACACACGGCGGGUGCUAACGUCCGUCGUGAAGAGGGAAACAACCCAGACCGCCAGCUAAGGUCCCAAAGUCAUGGUUAAGUGGGAAACGAUGUGGGAAGGCCCAGACAGCCAGGAUGUUGGCUUAGAAGCAGCCAUCAUUUAAAGAAAGCGUAAUAGCUCACUGGUCGAGUC